GUUAACAAAAAGAAAGUAAAUUCACUAUCACGAAAGAAGGUGAGCUAAACAAAUAUACUCGUUUUUAAUACGUAGCAUAGUAUUAUUUAAAUAUAUGUUUAGGGGUGAUAGGCUUUCCAAGCUUUCUAAUAACUUGUUACAUACGAAAAGUAUUCAGUACCAAGACAUACUUAAAAAGUUAAGCUUUUAAGUUGAUAUAACAGGCAUUUUUUUAAUUUAAUUCAGUAUAAUAGCUAAUUAAUAAAGAAUUUAAUAUUAUUUAUGUGUUUUUAUAUUUAAUAGUAUGGCGCCGUGAGACUAAGUCUAUGGGUGAUAAUGUUAAUAUUAGUAUUUUUAAGAAGUGUGCUAAAGGAACUCGGCAAAUAACCGCUCAACUGUUUAUCAAAAACAUAGCUAUAUGAAUUAAUAUAUAGUUACUUCUGCUCAAUGACUAUUAAAUAGCCGCAGUACCCUGACUGUGCAAAGGUAGCAUAAUCAGUUGGCUUUUAAUUGGAGUCUGGUAUGAACGAACGUAUGGGUGGUAGCUGUCUUAGUAUAUUAAUUUGAAUUUAUUGAGCAAGUGCAAAUACUUGCGGGGUUAAAAAAGACGAGAAGACCCUAGAAACUUAAAUUAGUUUUUGUUGGGGCGACAGAAUUACAUUUAACUGAUUUUUAAAACAUGACAUUUAAUUGGAAGAAUAAGUUACUCUAGGGAUAACAGCAUAAUUUUAACAGUUUGUGACCUCGAUGUUGGACUAGGUAUUAUAUGCUUAAGGCAAGGAUAUAAAAUGCUCUGUUCGAGCAAAUUCACCUACAUGAUCUGAGUUCAGACCGG
RNAcentral lists this ribosomal RNA (814 nucleotides) under Helix ligata. RNAcentral describes it as "partial large subunit ribosomal RNA". Lineage: Eukaryota; Metazoa; Mollusca; Gastropoda; Stylommatophora; Helicidae. The record is from RNAcentral.